RNAcentral lists this ribosomal RNA (427 nucleotides) under uncultured bacterium. RNAcentral describes it as "bacterial SSU rRNA". It matches the Rfam family "Bacterial small subunit ribosomal RNA", at positions 355 to 774 of the family's 1533-position model. The record is from RNAcentral.
UGGGGAAUUUUGGACAAUGGGGGCAACCCUGAUCCAGCCAUUCCGCGUGAGUGAAGAAGGCCUUCGGGUUGUAAAGCUCUUUCGGCAGGAACGAAACGGCGGGCUCUAACAUAGCCUGUUAAUGACGGUACCUGCAGAAGAAGCACCGGCUAACUACGUGCCAGCAGCCGCGGUAAUACGUAGGGUGCGAGCGUUAAUCGGAAUUACUGGGCGUAAAGCGUGCGCAGGCGGAUUGUUAAGCAAGACGUGAAAUCCCCGGGCUUAACCUGGGAAUGGCGUUUUGAACUGGCAGUCUAGAGUGCGUCAGAGGGGGGUGGAAUUCCACGUGUAGCAGUGAAAUGCGUAGAGAUGUGGAGGAACACCGAUGGCGAAGGCAGCCCCCUGGGAUGACACUGACGCUCAUGUACGAAAGCGUGGGUAGCAAACA